GUAGGUGAACCUGCGGAAGGAUCAUUACUGAUUUGCUUAAUUGCACCACAUGUGUUUUGUUCUGGACAAACUUGCUUUGGCGGUGGGCCCCUGCCUGCCGCCAGAGGACAUAAACUUACAACCAAAUUUUUUAUAAACUUGUCACGAGAUUAUUUUUAAUAGUCAAAACUUUCAACAACGGAUCUCUUGGUUCUCGCAUCGAUGAAGAACGCAGCAUCUGACUGACUACUCCGAGGAUUAUCUCGUAUGC
This 250-nucleotide unclassified non-coding RNA is filed under the name plant metagenome. RNAcentral describes it as "partial contains small subunit ribosomal RNA, internal transcribed spacer 1, and 5.8S ribosomal RNA". The stretch from base 167 to 250 matches the Rfam family "5.8S ribosomal RNA", at positions 1 to 56 of the family's 154-position model. The record is from RNAcentral.